Molecule: unclassified non-coding RNA, 387 nt
Filed under: soil metagenome
Description: partial contains 5.8S ribosomal RNA, internal transcribed spacer 2, and large subunit ribosomal RNA
Rfam family: 5.8S ribosomal RNA (bases 1-120)
Source: RNAcentral
GAUGAAGAACGCAGCGAAAUGCGAUCAGUAAUGUGAAUUGCAGAAUUCAGUGAAUCAUCGAAUCUUUGAACGCACAUUGCGCCCAUUAGUAUUCUAGUGGGCAUGCCUGUUCGAGCGUCAUUAAUUCCACUUAAGCCCUGCUUAGUGUUGGGAAUCUACUCUAGUGGUGCUACCCUGGAGCUACCCCUGAAAGGGGGCUGGCCCGGUAGCUACCCUGUAGUUCCUCAAAGAUAGUGCGCGGAGUUGCGUGGUCCUCUGAGCUUAGUAACUAUACACCUAGCUUUUGAGUGUCCCGCGGCGCCUGCCGUUUAAACCCCAUCUUUUAAUGGUUGACCUCGGAUCAGGUAGGAAUACCCGCUGAACUUAAGCAUAUCAAUAAGCGGAGGA